Long non-coding RNA from Megalobrama amblycephala (Wuchang bream), 1068 nucleotides. RefSeq lists it as uncharacterized. The transcript is spliced from 3 exons. NCBI's taxonomy places the organism in Eukaryota, Metazoa, Chordata, Actinopteri, Cypriniformes, Xenocyprididae. The record is from RefSeq and is a predicted model, not a curated record.
CGCUGGAGGAAAAUGAGCCCCCGCUCGGCCCCCUCUCAUGCUUGACAGAGAGAGUGGGGGAGAUCGCUUUGGCCUGAAGGAGAGACCAGAUAGUGAAAUAAUCUUUAAUCUCUGUCCCUUCCAGGCACCGGCAACACCUGUUAUUCUUGAUGGCGUCAGGCAAGAGGGCAGCGCGCAGCCUCGUUUUAAAGCUGAUUGCCUGACUUAUAAAUAUGAAUGUCUGCUCUGCUCGGCCCGCCUCAAAUCCCCGGUGGUCACUCUGUCUGCUCACACGGCAUAUGAUGAAGCAUUCAAACAAGGGGGGACGUAAGUGACAAUGACACUACAAAAGCUCAACGAUGAAGCCAGACAGGAUCUCAUUACGGCACAGGGCUGUUAAUGAUAAACUAUCACAGAGCCAUUAAAGAAAAAGAGACGGCUGGUGGACAGUGACAUUAUGGGAGGAAGAUGCCAUCAGCAUUUAGCAGUUUAAACUUCCCUCAAUUGUCCAUCUGUCAUGUAUCUAUAAAAGACUCUUUCUCUCUCUCACGCACACACACACACACCCAACAAAUUCACUCAUGCUUUGUGAUGGAUUAAUCAAGAUGAAGAGGCACUUGCCCUCUGUGGUUCAUCUGACAGUGCUGUCUGUCACGUCAAAGCAGUUUAUCUUGUCUAAAAACAAUCACAAUGUGAAAAAUUAGGAAAUCUGCAGUUCAAUUUUAUUAGAUAGUACAUUAAACAAAUAUAGUAAAAGUGGCUGGGCAGAGAUUUAUGUUAUGUGGGAGGAUCUAAAUUAUUUACUAUGCUGGAGCCUCUGAGGACCACGAGAGAUAAUUUAUCUGAUAAAAUAACAUGCAUAUUCAUAUGCCACAGUGUUUUUGAGGACAUAAGAGAUUAAUUGUGUGUGUAUCAUUAAAAGUUUUCAGUAGGGAUGCACAAAAUAAAAUAUUUUAUUUAAAUGUUAUAUUAUAUUACAAUUUAUAUUUUUAAGCAUUUAUCUUUGUUAACAUUAGUUAGUAAAAAUCGAAUUGUUGUUUGUUCAUGCUAGUUCAUAGUGCAUUAACAAAUGUUAACAAAUACAACUUU